GCGUUGGUUGUAUAGUGGUGAGCAUAGCUGCCUUCCAAGCAGUUGACCUAGGUAGCCAAUGCC
This 63-nucleotide transfer RNA is filed under the name Xenopus laevis (African clawed frog). Lineage: Eukaryota; Metazoa; Chordata; Amphibia; Anura; Pipidae. The record is from Rfam by way of RNAcentral.